UCUCUCCUCUAAUGCACAGCUGCUCUGUCGCACUGAGCCAGGUCUGAUUUGCUGCUGUCUCUCUCAGCAGUGCCAGCAUUCCGACGUUACUAAAACCUAACAUGGAAUGGACUUUCCUGUGUGGUGACGCCCCUUUAACAUCAACAACCAACCAACAAACCGACCAAUGGAUUCAAAGCUACAAUACAUCAGUUUUUACACACAGAUUAACCAUUAUCAUUCUCCAGUGUCACGAGAACAAGAUUUCUACUUAGAAAUAUAGAUAUUCUAACUGUAUCAAACUGAAAUGGAAAAAUUAAGUGAGGUAAAUCAGUCAAUAUGAACCAAAAUAAAAUCCCGAUCCCUACACACAGUGUUAUUGCUAAUGGAGACAGUAGCCGUAGAAACGGAUGUCUAACCAGAAUGUGCACGUUGCCACGGUGAUGCGGUAUUUAUAAGCACCUCUAUAUUAGCCAGAGAGAAAAAGACAAAGUCCCAAAGAGGCACCUAUAUAGUUCAGUUCAUACAGAUAACUUGCUCCUGGGGUUUAUUUUCUAACUUUUUAUUUUUAUUUUCCUUCGAUCAUUCAACAUCAUUUCUCUGUCUUUUUCUGUCUUUAAAAAAAAAAAAGACUAGUUUUGUCUCUACUGAGAGAUGCUAUACUGCGACAGCUGUUGAUCUGCGUUUUAUUUGAGGAGUAAACCUGUGGCUACAACAGUGAUGAUUAUAUGUGUAAAAAGAGGAGAGAAAAAGUAUAAUGUUUUUUUCAGUAACUAUCAUAUUGUCUUUUAGCCUGAUGAUGUUGCCUUCAAAUAGGGUUUUCUUUCUUUCUGGAGAAUCCAACUACGAUCCAAUCAUCCUUCUAUGUCUUGCCUGGGUUUUCUUGUGUCUGAAAUGGCACCCAAGUGUAUUAUAUUUGACCAGAGCCUAUUGGUUUCCCUAUUGGUUUCCCUAUUGGUUUCCCUAUUGGUUUCCCUAUUGGUUUCCCUAUUGGUUUCCCUAUUGGUUUCCCUAUUGGUGUCCCUAUUGGUUUCCCUAUUGGUUUCCCUAUUGGUUUCCCUAUUGGUUUCCCUAUUGGUUUCCCUAUUGGUGUCCCUAUUGGUUUCCCUAUGGGUUUCCCUAUUGGUUUCCCUAUUGGUUUCCCUAUUGGUUUCCCUAUUGGUUUCCCUAUUGGUUUCCCUAUUGGUUUCCCUAUUGGUUUCCCUAUUGGUUUCCUUGGGUUUCCCUAUGGGUUUCCCUAUUGGUUUCCUAUUGGUUUCCCUAUGGGUUUCCCUAUUGGUUUCCCUAUUGGUUUCCCUAUUGGUUUCCCUAUGGGUUUCCCUAUUGGUUUCCCUAUUGGUUUCCCUAUUGGUUUGCCUAUUGGUUUCCCUAUUGGUUUCCUAUUGGUUUCCCUAUUGGUUUCCCUAUUGGUUUCCCUAUUGGUUUCCCUAUUGGUUUCCCUAUUGGUUUCCCUAUUGGUUUCCCUACUGGUUUCCCUAUUGGUUUCCCUAUUGGUUUCCCUAUUGGUUUCCCUACUGGUUUCCCUAUUGGUUUCCCUAUUUGUUUCCCUAUGGGUUUCCCUAUUGGUUUCCCUAUUGGUUUCCCUAUGGGUUUCCCUAUUGGUUUCCCUAUUGGUUUCCCUAUUGGUUUCCCUGUUGGUUUCCCUAUUGGUUUCCCUAUUGGUUUCCCUAUUGGUUUCCCUAUUGGUUUCCCUAUUGGUUUCCCUAUUUGUUUCCCUAUGGGUUUCCCUAUUGGUUUUCCUAUUGGUUUGCCUAUGGGUUUCCCUAUGGGUUUCCCUAUUGGUUUCCCUAUUGGUUUCCCUAUGGGUUUCCCUAUUGGUUUCCCCUGUGUUUUCCUAUUGGUUUCCCUGUGGGUGUCCCUAUUUGUUUCCCUAUUGGUUUCCCUAUGGGUUUCCUGUGGGUUUCCCCUAUUGGUUUCCCUGUUGGUUUCCCUAUUGGUUUCCUAUUGGUUUCCCCUAUUGGUUUUUCUAUUGGUUUCCCUAUGGGCCCUGGUCAAAAGUAGUACACUAUAUAAGGAAUUAGGGUGCAAUUUUGGAGGCAGCCCUUGUGUUGUUUACAAAGAUGUUUGUACAGUGGGGUUUUUCAAUUGGGGUUGUGGUCAAAGAGGGACUGGACAUUUUAACAAGCGACCAAACUUCUGAGACACCAAUGGCCGACGUGACUGGGCGAUCCUCAUCAUGUUUUUUUGUUUUUUUAACUUUAUCCUUCCAAGGCCGUCUCUCAUUGGUUGGUUUGUCCAGUUAACCAAUCCCCUCUCAUGGAAUCUGCGAUCUACAACAGGAAGUAUAGAUUUUUUUUUUUUAAAUGAGGGUUUUUAAUACGAAAAAAAUAAAAUAAAAUAAUGUCAUUGGUGA
Molecule: long non-coding RNA, 2332 nt
Organism: Oncorhynchus masou masou (cherry salmon)
Lineage: Eukaryota; Metazoa; Chordata; Actinopteri; Salmoniformes; Salmonidae
Exons: 2
Source: RefSeq, a predicted model, not a curated record